This is a non-coding RNA of Spinacia oleracea (spinach), 106 nucleotides long. Lineage: Eukaryota; Viridiplantae; Streptophyta; Magnoliopsida; Caryophyllales; Amaranthaceae. The record is from Rfam.
AUCCCGUGAUGUGGGCAAUCCCUUUGAUAUUCCUUGAAACGGUCCCAAGCCUCGAAUAAGGAAUCAUCCCGCUUUUGUUCAAAUGACUGAAUCCUAUGCCGGUACU